CCUACGGGUGGCAGCAGUGAGGAAUAUUGGUCAAUGGGCGAGAGCCUGAACCAGCCAAGUCGCGUGAGGGAGUACUGCCCUAUGGGUUGUAAACCUCUUUUGUCGGGGAGCAAAAGCCGGACGUGUCCGGCUGUGAGAGUACCCGAAGAAAAAGCAUCGGCUAACUCCGUGCCAGCAGCCGCGGUAAUACGGAGGAUGCGAGCGUUAUCCGGAUUUAUUGGGUUUAAAGGGUGCGCAGGCGGAUUUUUAAGUCAGCGGUAAAAUCGUGGGGCUCAACCCCAUCCAGCCGUUGAAACUGGGGAUCUAGAGUGUGCGAGAGGUAUGCGGAAUGCGUGGUGUAGCGGUGAAAUGCAUAGAUAUCAGGCAGAACCCCGAUUGCGAAGGCAGCAUACCGGUGCACAACUGACGCUCAGGCACGAAAGCGUGGGUAUCGAACAGGAUUAGAUACCCCAGUAGUC
This 458-nucleotide ribosomal RNA is filed under the name uncultured bacterium. RNAcentral describes it as "partial 16S ribosomal RNA". It matches the Rfam family "Bacterial small subunit ribosomal RNA", at positions 338 to 795 of the family's 1533-position model. The record is from RNAcentral.